CCUUUUCAUUACACUUAUCACUUCACUUUCCAAAGGACAGGAAACUUUCUAAAAGUAAGCCAUGAGCUCCAUCUUUAUAGAACUUUUUGGUGAGAUAUCCACUUAUUUCACAUGUCUCUGGACAUGCUGUGUCAUGUUACAGUAACAGAAGAAAAAAAAAUGAGUCCUCUAGAGGGAGGCCUAUCACUCGUGUCUCUCCUGGUAUUGCCGAUCCUUCCGUGCCUGCCACAGGCAAAGGGUACUUUGAAUGACAGAGAAAUGGAAAGCUGUUCCUCAUCGGUUCCAGUUAAAGUCACUGUGGAAUAUCAAAAACAACAACCGCUGCAGCAAAUCAUGUACAAGUGA
RNAcentral lists this long non-coding RNA (345 nucleotides) under Fukomys damarensis (Damara mole-rat). Its description in RNAcentral is "lncRNA (ENSFDAG00000028763.1)". The record is from RNAcentral. Lineage: Eukaryota; Metazoa; Chordata; Mammalia; Rodentia; Bathyergidae.